AUUGAACGCUGGCGGCAGGCCUAACACAUGCAAGUCGAGCGGAGCGGCGGAGGGGUGAGUAAUGCCUAGGAAUGUGCCUGGUAGUGGGGGAUAACGUCCGGAAACGGGAGCUAAUACCGCAUACUAUCGGAUGAGGCUGGGCCGGAUUAGCUAGUGGGUGGGGUAAAGGCCUACCAAGGCGACGAUCCGUAACUGGUCUGAGAGGAUGAUCAGUCACACUGGAACUGAGACACGGUCCAGACUCCUACGGGAGGCAGCAGUGGGGAAUAUUGUACAAUGGGCGAAAGCCUGAUCCAGCCAUGCCGCGUGUGUGAAGAAGGUCUUCGGAUUGUAAAGCACUUUCAGUUGGGAGGCGUUACCAACAGAAUAAGCACCGGCUAACUUCGUGCCAGCCGCCGCGGUAAUAC
Molecule: ribosomal RNA, 407 nt
Filed under: uncultured bacterium
Lineage: Bacteria
Description: partial 16S ribosomal RNA
Rfam family: Bacterial small subunit ribosomal RNA
Source: RNAcentral